CAAAGUUUCUGAAUAUUUAUCUGUGCAUGUUUGUUUGCAGGGGUCCACUACACCAUAUGCACACAAUGGUGCCCAGGUUUGGACUCUACAGGAAAUUUCAAUGUGCUAACAGUUGGCACUUUAUUUGUGGACACACCCUUUACUUCCAAAUGCACAGCACUUCAGCUUCAGGCCCUGUGCUGGAGACUACAGAAAGGAGAAGAAAUGUUACUACUGAAAGAACCUCUGCAGACUGUUAGCUGCUGACAUGGCCAAUGAGAAGAAAAUGAAUGGUGUGCAGGAAAUGGGUCCAUCUCAAAAAACACUAUGAGGACAAGAAGAAACGGGGUAACUAGAGCCAAGAGAGGAGAGCCACUUUCAGCAACAGAAGAGACUCUGAAGCCAGGAAGUGAGAUAUUUCAGGAAAAUUAAUCUGACACAGAGGUCCACACUGAGAUAUACUCAGACUUUGUGAAGGCAAAAAGUAAUUUCAAAAUGGGCAAUAAAUUGCUGCUAUUCCUAAAAAAUCAUUCACUCUACUUCCAUCAUCAUCUGCUAGUCCUCACAUACUCUUCCUGUUCUCAGUCCAUUACCUUGCCAAAACCAUGUUUCAUUUUAAACCACCACAAGACACAGUGGGGGUGGAAAUAAGAGCCAGGGAAAAGCAAGGAGGUGUUAAGAUUGCUGCUUUUGAUGCUUCAUGGCUUCCAUCUCCUAAGUGUGGUUGUAUAAGUACAGCCUGGGAGGAGCUGGGAGAAGAGACUGAAGAGAAUAAUAAUGGGUAUGAGAUAAUGGAAAAAAUGAGAUGCAAAAUGAGAGAAGUCUGGCCAGAAUUUUUGGGAGCUAUUGACCUGUUUAAAAGCAUACUACAGCAGAAGUGGUCAUUGAAUAAGGUGAGUUAUUUUAAUUGUAUUGAGGAAUUUCAGUGCAGUUUCAAAUAAUGGGAUGUAGCUCUGUGAUCGUUUUGAACUACAUCUAGAUGAGCUCUUUGCACAUAACUGUGAAAUCAGGAAGAAACACAUAAUUUCAUAAUAAUAAUUAGCUGAAAACUUGGACUUCACAUCUGCUUUUGAAAACUAUCACCACAUAAUCAAUAUAGGAAGGUUAUAAACACGGAAGAUAACCAUGAAAUGAAAGGUAUAUAAAUGUGUCCAGUUUUGAGAUCUUCAUUCUGAAAAUGUGCUGCUGCUUUGAAUUGCAGUCAAAAUCUCUGCAAUUAAGGUGUGACAUGCCCUUCUGGUAAUAAAGUUUUCCAAAUUAUAUUAGAAGCA
Molecule: long non-coding RNA, 1250 nt
Filed under: Cyanistes caeruleus (blue tit)
Lineage: Eukaryota; Metazoa; Chordata; Aves; Passeriformes; Paridae
Description: lncRNA (ENSCCEG00000015833.1)
Source: RNAcentral